RNAcentral lists this small nuclear RNA (22 nucleotides) under Arabidopsis thaliana (thale cress). RNAcentral describes it as "snRNA_12873". Lineage: Eukaryota; Viridiplantae; Streptophyta; Magnoliopsida; Brassicales; Brassicaceae. The record is from RNAcentral.
UUAGAAAUGCAGGCGGUCUGAU